This 600-nucleotide ribosomal RNA is filed under the name uncultured bacterium. Its description in RNAcentral is "bacterial SSU rRNA". It matches the Rfam family "Bacterial small subunit ribosomal RNA", at positions 185 to 804 of the family's 1533-position model. The record is from RNAcentral.
GUUGCAUGACAUGGUGUGAAAAACUCCGGUGGUAUGAGAUGGACCCGCGUCUGAUUAGCUAGUUGGUGAGAUAACAGCCCACCAAGGCGACGAUCAGUAGCCGACCUGAGAGGGUGACCGGCCACAUUGGGACUGAGACACGGCCCAGACUCCUACGGGAGGCAGCAGUGGGGAAUAUUGCACAAUGGAGGAAACUCUGAUGCAGCGACGCCGCGUGAGUGAAGAAGUAAUUCGUUAUGUAAAGCUCUAUCAGCAGGGAAGAUAGUGACGGUACCUGACUAAGAAGCUCCGGCUAAAUACGUGCCAGCAGCCGCGGUAAUACGUAUGGAGCAAGCGUUAUCCGGAUUUACUGGGUGUAAAGGGAGUGUAGGUGGCCAUGCAAGUCAGAAGUGAAAAUCCGGGGCUCAACCCCGGAACUGCUUUUGAAACUGUAAGGCUAGAGUGCAGGAGGGGUGAGUGGAAUUCCUAGUGUAGCGGUGAAAUGCGUAGAUAUUAGGAGGAACACCAGUGGCGAAGGCGGCUCACUGGACUGUAACUGACACUGAGGCUCGAAAGCGUGGGGAGCACACAAGAGUAGAUACCCUGGUAGUCCACGCCGUA